GAGGGUAUGGCGCAGUGGUAGAGCAUGUGCUUAGCAUGCACAAGGUCCUAGGUUCAAUCCCCAGUACCUCCA
Camelus ferus (Wild Bactrian camel) is the source of this 72-nucleotide transfer RNA. It matches the Rfam family "tRNA". Rfam says of the family: Transfer RNA (tRNA) molecules are approximately 80 nucleotides in length. Their secondary structure includes four short double-helical elements and three loops (D, anti-codon, and T loops). Lineage: Eukaryota; Metazoa; Chordata; Mammalia; Artiodactyla; Camelidae. The record is from Rfam.